AUACGUAGGGGGCGAGCGUUGUCCGGAAUUAUUGGGCGUAAAGGGUUCGCAGGCGGUCUGAUAAGUCAGAUGUGAAAGGCAAUGGCUCAACUAUUGUAAGCAUUUGAAACUGUCAGACUUGAGUUAAGGAGAGGAAAGUGGAAUUCCUAGUGUAGCGGUGAAAUGCGUAGAUAUUAGGAGGAAUACCAGUGGCGAAGGCGACUAUCUGGACUUAUACUGACGCUGAGGAACGAAAGCGUGGGGAGCAGACAGGAUUAGAUACCCUGGUAGUCCACGCCGUAAACGAUGAGUGCUAGGUGUUGGGGGUCAAACCUCGGUGCCGCAGCUAACGCAUUAAGCACUCCGCCUGGGGAGUACGUACGCAAGUAUGAAACUCAAAUGAAUUGACGGGG
RNAcentral lists this ribosomal RNA (392 nucleotides) under uncultured bacterium. RNAcentral describes it as "partial 16S ribosomal RNA". It matches the Rfam family "Bacterial small subunit ribosomal RNA", at positions 523 to 918 of the family's 1533-position model. The record is from RNAcentral.